Molecule: ribosomal RNA, 292 nt
Filed under: uncultured bacterium
Lineage: Bacteria
Description: partial 16S ribosomal RNA
Rfam family: Bacterial small subunit ribosomal RNA
Source: RNAcentral
GUGCCAGCCGCCGCGGUAAAACGUAGGGGCCGAGCGUUAUCCGGAUUUACUGGGCGUAAAGCGCCAGCAGGCGGUCUGACAAGUUGGACGUGAAAGCUCCCGGCUUAACUGGGAGAGGUCGUGCAAGACUGUCGGACUUGAGGUUGGAAGAGGGGAGCAGAAUUCCCGGUGUAGUGGUGGAAUGCGUAGAUAUCGGGAGGAAUACCAGUGGCGAAAGCGGCUCCCUGGUCCUGACCUGACGCUCAGGGGCGAAAGCGUGGGGAGCGAACGGGAUUAGAUACCCGUGUAGUCC